This 74-nucleotide transfer RNA is filed under the name Pseudomonas putida. RNAcentral describes it as "tRNA-Gly". The record is from RNAcentral. RNAcentral also lists the same sequence under 5 other names. Lineage: Bacteria; Pseudomonadati; Pseudomonadota; Gammaproteobacteria; Pseudomonadales; Pseudomonadaceae.
GCGGGCAAGCAGCAGGUUUGCCGCCAGCCUUCCACGCUGAGCAGAGAAGGGUUCGAUUCCCUCUGCCCGCUCCA